RNAcentral lists this unclassified non-coding RNA (326 nucleotides) under soil metagenome. RNAcentral describes it as "partial contains 5.8S ribosomal RNA, internal transcribed spacer 2, and large subunit ribosomal RNA". The stretch from base 1 to 120 matches the Rfam family "5.8S ribosomal RNA", at positions 35 to 154 of the family's 154-position model. The record is from RNAcentral.
GAUGAAGAACGCAGCGAAAUGCGAUAAGUAAUGCGAAUUGCAGAAUUCAGUGAGUCAUCGAAUCUUUGAACGCACAUUGCGCCCCUUGGUAUUCCGAGGGGCAUGCCUAUUCGAGCGUCAUUAUCACCCUUCAGGCUUCGGCCUGGUGUUGAGGCCUGCCGUCAAGGCACCCUCUAAAAUCAGUGGCGGCGCCCUCUGGCUCUAAGCGUAGUAACAUACCGCUAUGGGGUCCCGGGGACGCUCGCCAGAACACCCAACUUCUUAAUGAUUGACCUCGGAUUAGGUAGGGAUACCCGCUGAACUUAAGCAUAUCAAUAAGCGGAGGA